GAUGCCAGCUAGCGAUCCGCCAAAGUUCCUCCGAUGACUUGGUGGGCAGCUUCCGGGAAACCAAAGCAUUUGGGUUCCGGGGGAAGUAUGGUUGCAAAGCUGAAACUUAAAGGAAUUGACGGAAGGGCACCACCAGGAGUGGAGCCUGCGGCUUAAUUUGACUCAACACGGGAAACCUCACCAGGCCCGGACACCGGAAGGAUUGACAGAUUGAGAGCUCUUUCUUGAUUCGGUGGGUGGUGGUGCAUGGCCGUUCUUAGUUGGUGGAGCGAUUUGUCUGGUUAAUUCCGAUAACGAACGAGACUCUAGCCUACUAAAUAGACGUACUUUAUUACCGGCAUCUCAAGGCCCAUCGGCUGUAUUGUUACUGAAUGUUAUUUGUAUAUUUUGUUGAUAUAUAUUUAUAAUAUGUAUGAUUGAUAAUAUAUAUUUUUUUAUAAUUCAUAUUUUUUUUUCAAAAUUAAAAUUGGUUAUUUUUUAUAUAUGUAAUUAUUUAAUCUGCAUUAAUGAUAUACUUAAAACAUGAUACAUUAACUAAAGUGACAACAGUUUUUU
Molecule: ribosomal RNA, 555 nt
Filed under: Myrmeleon formicarius
Lineage: Eukaryota; Metazoa; Arthropoda; Insecta; Neuroptera; Myrmeleontidae
Description: partial 18S ribosomal RNA
Rfam family: Eukaryotic small subunit ribosomal RNA
Source: RNAcentral